CCAAUGGCUAAGCCUCCUGCUAAAGUUUGCUGGCUCUGGCGGUGAUGGAUCACCGUUUCAGUGGCAUUUAAAUCCCCGGCGCUCCUCUAUCUAGGUGACGCGCAGCAGCCCCCCCAGGCAGCCCAGGCGGCGGCAGCAGCUGCAGCGGCUGCAACGACAGAUUCCGAGCGCUGGGGCGAAGGGAGCAGAGGCUGCCUUCUGCGCGCUCCCGACUCCGCUCACCCCCCUCCCCCCAAGAGGUGGGAGCUGGGAGGCAUCCCCCGCCUCCGCCCCCUCCCCAUCACGCUCAGAAAGAUGAACUGGCAAGAGGUGAGAAGGGAAGAGGGCUCCUGGCUCCCCUGGGUGGGAAUCCGUGGGCUAGAGCUCGCUGGGUGGCCGCAAGUACCUCGGCCCAGUCCAGAGAGCGCGGAGCAGGAAGGGUGGGAAUCCAGUCGUAACCGCGCCCGAGUUCCAGGGUAAUUCCACCGUACAAUCUGGGCUGUGAGGCCGUGGGGCCGUAAAGAGCUCGAAGAACGCUGGAGGAGGGCGAGGCUAGGCCACUAGCUCUCCAAGCUCGGAAUGGAGAAGGUAGUGUGCCAAGAACUGACUGCGGGGAACCCGGGUGGGAAUGGAAGGUACGAGAGCAAGAAAAGAAACUUCCCUCCUCCAAGGAGGGUCUCCCCAGCCUUCUUUUCCAACCCCCGGUCAUCAUUAGCAUGGCCAUGAGGAGCCUAUGUAAUUCGAUCCCCAGGGACGACUGAGCCCUUGAAACCAAGCUUGCUGGAAAAGGCCGGGGUUGCUGGGCUCUUCUCUGCCCUCCCUCUUUCCUUGCUCUCCGCCCCUUUCUCCUCCCCACUCAGCUUUGCUAGGGGAGCCCUCUGAGAUCCGAAGCAACUCCACUGCUGGAGUUUGAGGGGGUAGGAGAAGGGGGAGGGGGAUGACGCUAUCAAACGUGGCCAGCGUGGGGGCCGGGCCUUGAGCUGCAGGCCAUCUGCUGGCUCUUAAGGACUUGGGAGCCUGCGUGCAAUCUUUAGCGCUUGGAAGGCCGGAACGCAAUUCCUACAAACAUUCCGAACUUUCCCUGUUUCUCUUUCUGGAGGGGGAUGUUAGGACUGCCUCCACUUUCCACCUCACCCCAUCUACUGCACGUCUGGAGUGGAGGUCGGGGCUGGCAGGUGGGAGAGGCGGUGGACAGAUGGCUGAGGGUGAAUGGGACAGUUCCCUCUUCCCCAACAUCUCCUCCCCUUUCCAACGGACUGUAUAGUUGCUUGAGUGAACUUUCAAGUCUUUCCAUAGAGAGAUACGUGCGUCACCCCAGGCCAGGGGUCCUGGUCUCCCUCACCCUAGUCCUAUAUUGAUGCUGCUGGAGUCUUUAAUUGCUGUUUACUAUUAGGUUUCAUGUCAACCUCGGGCUUGUGGAGAAAAAAUGCCAAGCAGAGACCGAGAACUGAUGCAUUCUUAAGCAGGAGAAGUCCAGAGAUCAUCUAAGAAGCUUUACAACCAAAGCUGCAUAGAUUUUACUUUGACAUGUUUGUGACAUUGGAUCGGAUAGAUGAAAUUAAUAGUGAGGAUUAUAGGUGGGUUUGGGGUUCCCAUGUCCUCCUUUUCUACAUUAAAAGAAAGGAAGUUUUUCUCUAGGCAGGCACAUUUCAAAUGUGUUAGUCAUCCUUACAUAUAUCUGUGUUCAGUUCUCAUAAAGAAGUUCUCCAAAAACCUGUCCCCACAAGAGGGAAAAUUUCUGUAGACCUUUUACUCUGAAUUCUCUCAGUAGCAAUGAAACAUUUUCCCAAACAUUUCCUUUUGGAACGGUAUUUUCCUAUGACCUUUGACCCACCCCAAGCAUGGAAAGAGGAAGAGCUCCAAAAGUUCCCCUACCCCAGUUUCAGCUCCUAGGGAUCCUCAUCCUGCAGAAGGGGAUAGACAAGGAGACCCUCUUGGAGAUAGCCUCCUUGGGAUCGCCAGGGUUGGGGAAACAAGGGGGUCUUGUUGGGCAGGGGACAGGAUGUAAGAGGGUCAGUGCUGGCAGUGAGGGAGAUCCAGGCCCUCUGCCCGCUUGCCUCCUUCCUAUACCUUCUUUGUGGGCUUCCUCCGCUCUGGUUUGCAAUAUCCUCCCGGCCGGUUGUAGUUCGCCUGCACAAAGCCGCCUUCAGCCUCAGCCGCUGUCUUUUCUCUCCCUCCACCUCUCUUUCUCCUGGCCUGUUUUCAGGGGAACCUGCAUGGGGUGUUUUCCUUUGGAUCACAAAUUCGCACUGCCACACAAGCCUGCAUACAUACAGGCCAACUGCCAUCCCACCUCUUCGCACUGCUCCAGCUCCCGCAGGCUGGCUCUGCCUCGGCUGGUCCCCCCGAGUGCCGCUCUCCUGGAGUGGCUCACAAAGGCAGCCUCCCGCGGCAUCCAGCCCGUAGGCUAGGCUUCGGUAGCUCCGAUCCUUCCCCAGCCGCCACACCACCUCUACCCCACCCCCAGGAAUCGUGGGAGCCAUUCUGCUGUAUAAGAGACCCUUGGUCCUCUGGGCAUGUAGGCCAGUGACCCAGGACUCAGCUAAAGUCUCUUUAAAUGCCUCAGGAGAGUGGGUGAAAGGCGAGCUUGGUUACGAUUAAAAUAAUCGCCUGCAAGUAUCUGCCUCUGCUCAAAACGCCUCUUUCGGGGCUCUUCUAGAAAGAGAAAGAGCGAGGAGGAGACAAAACGCCGCCGAGGCCCCGGAGCCGUUCAUGGCAUCCGCGGCUCAGCCAAGCUGUUGUUUUAAAAGAGCAAUAAAAAUGAAUUAUGACUGAAUGCCUUCUAACUUAAUGCUUUCGGACGGGGAUCCCCGGCAAAUACGUAAGAGGAUUUUUAUUUGUGCAUGUGUUCCUGCAAUUGAUCUCUUUGAUGACAUUCUCAUUCAUAGAAAGCGUUUGAUUUAUGAGCUUAGGACGAAUCGCAUCCAGGAGCGGCGCAGCCCUGGCCGCAGCCCGGACGCCCUGCUCGGCGCUAAGCCUGAGCCUAGGUCCGGAAGCCGGCCACAAACGCCACAGGCCGCCGCCGCCGCCGCCGCUGCUGAUGCUGCUGCUGCUGCUGCUGCUGCUGCUGGGAUUUAGCGGGUGAAGAGGUGACAGAAAGUAGGGAGCAAACCCAUGAGGAAAGAUCGCGAUUUUAUUCUAACUUCCAAGCCUUUGCUGUUAAGAGCAGGGUUCUUAAAUCAACCGGCCCAACACACAUGUUGCUGCGCUUUCUCACGGUAAGUAGCCCAUAGAAGAGCACAGAAAGGGAAAAAUAAACAUGGGGAGACAUAAAAACUGGAAAAAAACAGAACAGCCCCCAAACACACCCUAGGUCAUAUUUUAUUGAUAUUUCAUUUAAAGUGCUUUUUCUCUUUCUUUGCCUAACUGGGUUACUUUAUAACCUAGGGUGCAGAAGCACUUCAUUUUAAAUCUCAACUUGCUAACCUGACUUCAAAGCUUUAAUGAUCCAUUAUUAGCAAUGUAAACAGAUUUAAGAAUGAAAUAUUGAUUUUUCUGACCCUGGAUGUGGGGGGAGGGGGGAGUAUCCUAGAAUGACUGGACCAGACAAUUAGAAAGAGUCUUUCCCGAAGUGCAUUUUCCAGCUAGUAACCAUUAUUUUGUUUUAUUGUUUUUCUCUAUCUUUUAGGUCUGUUUUGCCUGAACCUAUCAACAGCUGGGAGAUUAAUCAACCACUCUGAAAAUGUACGGGGGAUUUGUGGGGGAGGGGUUGGAAUGUAGAUGUUUGGAACCAAUGUGUAUAAAUAAAUGAAUUGUUGAUAACUUAUUGACCUGGUAGCUUGUUAAAGAAACCCAGAGUUGCUCAUUCCUAGAGCUGGGGUUUCAGUAGGCACUUUAUUUCUCCACCUUCAAAAGCUUGAGCUUGCCCAACUCUUAGGCUGCCCAAUCCUGUUUCUACUACUAAUUUAAAUUUAUGGCUUGAGCCACUACACUGAAAGCCAAAUCCAUUCCCUUCCAAAAAAGAAAAAGAAAAAAGAAAAGAAAGGAAAAAAAAACCCUAAAAACAAAAAGUACUUGUCAGAAGCCCUAGCCAUUUUCUGGCUUUAUUUGUUGCGGUCUAUUGAAGACUUUGAACAUGCC
RNAcentral lists this long non-coding RNA (4059 nucleotides) under Marmota monax (woodchuck). The stretch from base 2695 to 2908 matches the Rfam family "HOX antisense intergenic RNA myeloid 1 conserved region 2". Lineage: Eukaryota; Metazoa; Chordata; Mammalia; Rodentia; Sciuridae. The record is from RNAcentral.